UGGGCCGCGGCUCAGUUGGUUAGAGUUGCGGACUCAAAAUCCGUAGGUCUCUGGUUCAAGUCCGGGUGUGCCCAA
RNAcentral lists this transfer RNA (75 nucleotides) under Spirochaetaceae bacterium. RNAcentral's name for it is "tRNA-Leu". It matches the Rfam family "tRNA". Rfam says of the family: Transfer RNA (tRNA) molecules are approximately 80 nucleotides in length. Their secondary structure includes four short double-helical elements and three loops (D, anti-codon, and T loops). Lineage: Bacteria; Pseudomonadati; Spirochaetota; Spirochaetia; Spirochaetales; Spirochaetaceae. The record is from RNAcentral.